Molecule: long non-coding RNA, 673 nt
Organism: Macadamia integrifolia
Lineage: Eukaryota; Viridiplantae; Streptophyta; Magnoliopsida; Proteales; Proteaceae
Exons: 3
Source: RefSeq, a predicted model, not a curated record
UUUCAUUUCUUCUCACUUGGACAACAAGAGAAAGAAAGGAGAAUGAAGAAGAAGAAGAGAAGAGAAGAGAAGAAGAGAAGGGAAGAGAGGGAGAUCAAGAAGGAGAUCGACUUACUCAGGUUGCUGUUGGAAGAUUCAGUAAACAGGAGAUCCUAAUAGCUAUGUGGGAGCUUAUUCAGUACCAGGAAGGGAGUUGAUUAUUUCAGAUUCUCAAAAUGAGGAGAGGAGUCACUUACAGAUUACCAGUUCAGAGUAUGAGGCUAUGGCCUUGGAUUAGUUGACUUGUGUACAAGAUGAUGAUUUCAGCCAUGGACCUGAUUACAAGUGUGAUGACUGUGUAUAUAGUGGACAACAUUAUUGAGGACUGAUAUACCUAGUUAUUCUUUUGUAUAUAUAUAAACAGUGGUAGGAACCAGUUUUUGUUGGUUGAGACUACAGGUGGGAGACAGUAUAGACAAGUGGGAGAUAUGUUGAUGGUUGGACAGGUGGGAGACAGGUUUGAUAGUUUAUAAUACAGAUGGGGAAACAUUCUUUUUGCGUAAAUAUUUGGAUAUAAUGGGAUGACUGUAAUAUAUAUUUGGAUUUAGUGAACAUGAUAUUGUGAAUCUUUGCAUAUUUGGUAUCAGUUAUCACAUAGAGGCACUGGAUAAAUAUGAAAUUUUACUUGAUCAAA